CCUCUUCUUUCGUCAACCUUUUGCGCCUAUAUUCGUUCUGCCGGCGCAAGCCGGCUAUGGCGAUAAACGGACGUCGUAAUAAACCUUUCGGACCCGGGGGCAGUACCCGGCGACUCCACCAAUUCGAGGAGUCGGUCAUCAAAGUGACAGUAAUCAGAGAUGCUUCUGAUUACCGAUUACUGAUCACCGACUCCCGUCGCGGGGUCGAAAUAGGAUCGACGAGGGCGUAAAGGGCGUACUUUUGCUCGGCAUGGUUCCGCCGUUAUCGGGCCAAAUCAUAGUUGCAAACGACAACUAUGCUCCGGUUGCUCUGGCCGCGUAAGCGGCUCGAAAGACCGAUCUGAAGCCCUGGCGUCUUAGCAGCGCCAGGCGGGGUUCGGAGGCACCUGGCAACAGAAGCCUCCACU
This 407-nucleotide transfer-messenger RNA is filed under the name Xanthobacteraceae bacterium. It matches the Rfam family "Alphaproteobacteria transfer-messenger RNA". From Rfam's summary of the family: Bacterial tmRNA, also known as 10Sa RNA or SsrA, is named for its dual tRNA and mRNA-like properties. Its role is to liberate the mRNA from a stalled ribosome. The record is from RNAcentral. Lineage: Bacteria; Pseudomonadati; Pseudomonadota; Alphaproteobacteria; Hyphomicrobiales; Xanthobacteraceae.